This 459-nucleotide long non-coding RNA is filed under the name Homo sapiens (human). RNAcentral describes it as "HSALNT0029461". The record is from RNAcentral. Lineage: Eukaryota; Metazoa; Chordata; Mammalia; Primates; Hominidae.
GGGCAGGUCUUUCCUGUGCUGUUCUCAUGGUAGUAAGUAGACUCAUGAGAUCUGAUGUUUAUUAAAAGGGGGACUUUUCCUGCACAAGCUUUCUCUUUGCUUGCUGCCAUUCAUGUAAGACGUGACCUGCUGCUCCCUGCCUUCUGCCAUGAUUGUGAAGCUCCCCCAGCCAUGUGGAACUGUCCUGCUCCCUGCCUGCCCAUCUUCGACCUCAGCCCUCCUCCUCCAAAGCAGUCCCUCAGAACCCCUCCUGGUUUCAGUCUGGAUCCCACCACAUGUUGAAUGGCACCCUCUCAAUCUGGGACAGCGUCCGUUGAUUUUCUCCUGUGAUAAAUGAGUGCCUGGAGUAGGGAUGGCACAGAAGAACUAUUCAGCACAUGAAGCAGUGAAUGAAAAGACAAAAGGGCAAGAAAAGGAGAGAACAGUGGAGAAAAAAGAUUUUAAUUAAAUACAUGUGGG